AUCGUAGGUACCCGCGGA
This 18-nucleotide small RNA is filed under the name Bombyx mori (domestic silkworm). RNAcentral describes it as "ovarian small RNA-12508". Lineage: Eukaryota; Metazoa; Arthropoda; Insecta; Lepidoptera; Bombycidae. The record is from RNAcentral.